Lepisosteus oculatus (spotted gar) is the source of this 205-nucleotide small nucleolar RNA. Its record names the gene U3. It matches the Rfam family "Small nucleolar RNA U3". From Rfam's summary of the family: Small nucleolar RNAs (snoRNAs) are involved in the processing and modification of rRNA in the nucleolus. There are two main classes of snoRNAs: the box C/D class, and the box H/ACA class. Lineage: Eukaryota; Metazoa; Chordata; Actinopteri; Semionotiformes; Lepisosteidae. The record is from Ensembl.
ACGUCUUUACUUUCAGGGAUCAUUUCAGUAGUUUGUUUCUAGAGAAAUGCGUUUCUAAAGUGAUUGGUCUCUCCAUCCACGAGGAAGAGUUGGAGUGUUCCUUUCUGAGCACAAAAGUGACUUCAAAUGCUGUUUUCGAGUCGUGGUUUUUUGUCAUUGAUGAUUCUCUGAUAUCUGUGAACCACAAGGAAAGGAAUACCUCUCA